RNAcentral lists this long non-coding RNA (672 nucleotides) under Citrus x clementina. RNAcentral describes it as "Citrus clementina (C. clementina) long non-coding RNA (CCLE_LNC000666)". The record is from RNAcentral. Lineage: Eukaryota; Viridiplantae; Streptophyta; Magnoliopsida; Sapindales; Rutaceae.
CCGCCAAGUCUGGGGCCAUUCCGAGUCCCGCGGACGAACGUCGCCCACGCCCCCCGCCAAGGCUAUAGCCCACCCUUUUUUUGGCCAUUUUUCCGCUGGGGGGUCUUGGGACCCUUGACCUUCGGGGGCUGAUUUUUGGGCGCGGCUGUGCCCGUGGCCUAUUUUUGGCACACGGAGGCCGCCCGCCAAGUAUGGUGCCAUUCCGAGUCCCGCGGACGAACGUCGCCCACGCCGCCCACCAAGGCUAUAGCCCACCCUUUUUUUGGCCAUUUUUCCGCUGGGGGGUCUUGGGACCCCGACCUUCGGGGGCUGAUUUUUGGGCGCGGCUGUGCCCGUGGCCUAUUUUUGGCACACGGAGGCCGCCCGCCAAGUCUGGUGCCAUUCCGAGUCCCGCGGACGAACUUCGCCCACGCCCCCCACCAAGGCUAUAGCCCACCCGUUUUUUGGCCAUUUUUCCGCUGGGGGGUCUUGGGACCCCGACCUUCGGGGGCUGAUUUUUGGGCGCGGCUGUGCCCGUGGCCUAUUUUUGGCACAUGGAGGCCGCCCGCCAAGUCUGGUGCCAUUCCGAGUCCCGCGGACGAACUUCGCCCACGCCGCCCACCAAGGCUAUAGCCCACCCGUUUUUUUGGCCAUUUUUCCGCUGGGGGGUCUUGGGACCCCGACCUUCGGGGN